Hipposideros armiger (great roundleaf bat) is the source of this 421-nucleotide long non-coding RNA. RefSeq lists it as uncharacterized. The record is from RefSeq and is a predicted model, not a curated record. The transcript has 4 exons. NCBI's taxonomy places the organism in Eukaryota, Metazoa, Chordata, Mammalia, Chiroptera, Hipposideridae.
UGAAAAUUUUUGAGAGGAGUCUCAGGGAAGUGGGAUUCAGUUUUGAACUGACUGCUGUGCCUGACGCAGGAUUAGGGCAUGUGGAAAUUAACUACGGAUUGGAAACUAUCAUGAGUCGAUGGCCAUUAAGCAAUUGGGUCUCUCCGAUAAUAGAUGGGUAGAGCAAAGCAGCCUGGGAGCAUCUUUGUUUUAUAAUAAAUUGUGAUAUCGGAGAAAACAUGCUGUCCCAUUCCCAUCGAGAAAGUUGUGCUUCUUCAGGAGGAUUUUGGAUAUUCUUGGCUGUUUGUGCUUCAAAUAGAUUUCAGGAUCCAGGCUUCUUCAUCUCGUAAAAUGAAUCCUGGAGUGUUGCCUCUUCUACCAGCGUCUGUAAGAGUCUGAGGCCGGCCGAGUGGUGUGUUGGUUAAGAACUGGCUUGGGAUGC